RNAcentral lists this long non-coding RNA (1954 nucleotides) under Astyanax mexicanus (Mexican tetra). Its description in RNAcentral is "lncRNA (ENSAMXG00005009702.1)". The record is from RNAcentral. Lineage: Eukaryota; Metazoa; Chordata; Actinopteri; Characiformes; Acestrorhamphidae.
CUGAAGUUCAGUUCACUUAUUUACUCUAUGUAACAUUUAAGUCUUGAAACCGAGUUAAAGUUACUUAAAUUUAUCUGAAAUUAAAUUUACUUAAAAAAACAAUUGCAGAAAGUAAAUACAAAAAUAAAAAACACUGAAUGAAGGCGUGUCCAAGCUUUUGACUUGUACUGUAAAUACACUACAUACAGUGUUAUGUAAAUACAUUAAAUCAUUGCCUUAACUAUAUAUGUACUGUAUAUGUGUUUCUGUAUCUCUAUGCCCACCUCUAAGUGCACCUGAAGAGAUACAGGAUGAAGGUGAUAAAACAGCAGACAAGAAUGAUGAGAACGAAGCUUCCAGUCUUUCAGACUCAAACACAGAGAAACCCACACAGGUAAACCCUGCAGAUGAGGAUGAGAAAGGUUAGUAGUGUAAUAUACUGUACAUUUAGAUCUCUUCUUCUUUUCUCUGUAAUUUUAUUAUCAUACUGUAUUUUAUAUUUUGUUGGUGCACUUAUUACAAAUUUAGAAAGUGGCGAAACAGUCAACACUGAAGUCAUUCUACAGAAUGGACAGCUGGAAAGAUCAGUGCUUGAAGUGAUGGAGAUCCAGGUAGAGAGAGACCCCAAAACUGGUGCCACCAACAUUAAAUCCAUGGCUCCAGUAGCAGAACCAGUACCAGCAGCAGCAGCAGCACUGGACGCUACUGGAGAAGCUGUGUUUGAUGAUGGAAGGGGGACGGUACAGCCUGUGGGAGCCACUGAUGUCAUUGGACAGUUGGACAUGCAGACUGGACCGGAUGGUGAUGUGAGAAUCGUCUGUGAUAAAGAACUUGGAGAUCCAGAGGUUGAAACUGGAGAUCCAGAGGUUGAAACCGGAGAUCCAGAGGUUGAAACCGGAGAUCCAGAGGUUGAAACCGGAGAUCCAGAGGUUGAAACUGGAGAUCCAGAGGUUGUUGAACAUUCUACAGAAGAUCUACAGAAGACCACUGACUCAACACACAAUUCAAUACAGCAAGUCAAGACACCAGAGAAGGAAGAUGAACCAGAGGAAGUUCAAAGGAAUGACAUGGAUGUUAGUGAGGCUAAAGUGCAGCAGAAGGAGGAGGGUGAUGAAGAAUGGGAGAUGGUGAACUGUAGGCCAGAAGAAGGCCUGGACCCUGUGGUGCUGAGCUUUUUAGGCUUCACCCAAGUUCAGGCUGAAGAUCAAGGAGCCGUUCUGAAGGUGGAACAGGUGCUUAUUGGUGGAGAAGAAGUUCCAGAGAUGAGUCUGUCUGAGAAUCUGAGCCCUAUUAUGGUUGAAAACGUCAAACCUGGUAACGAAGAGUCUCUGAAAAGCACAAGAAAUGAAGAGUCACAGCUUAACACAGUUGAGUCCAGUGAGUCUUGCCCAGAAGAAAGCUUUCCUGAGGAAACAUCACAGGACGUUAUGUUGGAGACAGGAGGAGAAGGUAAACGAACAUUUUCUAAACAGUAUUUGGGUGGUGGGUGAGUUUUUAAACACUGUGUUUAAUCACACACUGUAUUAGACUCUAUUAGACACUCCUACCUACUACAGCUAAUCCACCUGUAGAUAAAGUCUGAUAAGUCAGAAACAGAAGCUCUGAAGAUCUGUUGCUGCACAGUUUACCGUGUUGCUCAUCCUUUAGUUCUUCAUCAGUGCUCACUGGUCGUUGCUUGGUGAAUAUUUCUGAUUGGUGGACUAUUCCCAGUCCAGCAGUGACACUGAGGUGUUUAAAAACUCCAGCAGCACUGCUGCUGCAUCUGAUCCACUCACUGUACCACCAGCUCAACACACACUAACACCUCAUACACCACCAUACACCAUGCUAAUCAGUGCUAAUCACUGCAGUGCUGAGAAUAAUCCACAGUGAAAAAGAGUAGAUUAAAGUAUACUAAGCAUUAUUAUGCUAUAGUGCACUAAAGUGUUCUUGUAGCCACUUUAUUAUUAAUCAGUAUAUUUAAAGAGUGAUAAAA